GGUGUAUAAACUGGCUGUUGCGUUGACGUUACUUGUUGCGAUGCUCGUAUCGUAGCUGAAGCUGGCCGAGGUGUAUAAACUGGCUGUUGCGUUGACGUCACUUGUUACGAUGCUCGUAGCGUUACCAUAGAAUAUAUAAUCGACCAGAAGUCUCACUGUACACCUUUCCUUAACAUUUUCGUGUCCGCGAUUUUCGCCUUGCGGAUCACGAAUUUCGCACGCUAGAUGACGUGUGUGACACUUGCUGCGAACAUCACGUCAGCGUUCGUCAGCAAAACGGUUAAAACAGCAAUCUUUAUUACCUGGUAAUGGCAAUUGAUGGCGUAAUUGCUCGCGUUUGAUGGCGUGGAUUACACUUGCUGGCUCGCGCCUGCGCAUAAAAAAUCUCGGACAUAAUUUUGGCUGAGUGAGGCUUCUGGUCUUAUUUUCUAUUCUGUGGCGUUAC
Molecule: non-coding RNA, 445 nt
Organism: Paramuricea clavata
Lineage: Eukaryota; Metazoa; Cnidaria; Anthozoa; Malacalcyonacea; Plexauridae
Source: the annotation of a GenBank genome assembly